GACGAACGCUGGCGGCGUGCUUAACACAUGCAAGUCGAACGGAAAGGCCCCUUUUGGGGUACUCGAGUGGCGAACGGGUGAGUAACACGUGCGUAACCUGCCCUUGACUUCGGGAUAACUUCAGGAAACUGGGGCUAAUACCGGAUAGGAAUCCUUGCUGCAUGGUGGGGGUUGGAAAGCUUCGGCGGUUUUGGAUGGACUCGCGGCUUAUCAGCUUGUUGGUGGGGUAGUGGCUUACCAAGGCUUUGACGGGUAGCCGGCCUGAGAGGGCGACCGGCCACAUUGGGGCUGAGAUACGGCCCAGACUCCUACGGGAGGCAGCAGUGGGGAAUAAUGCACAAUGGGCGGAAGCCUGAUGCAGCAACGCCGCGGGCGGGAUGACGGCCUUCGGGUUGGAAACCGCUUUCAGCAGGGGCGAAGCUUGUGGUGACGGUACCUGCAGAAGAAGCACCGGCUAACUACGUG
RNAcentral lists this ribosomal RNA (465 nucleotides) under uncultured bacterium. Its description in RNAcentral is "partial 16S ribosomal RNA". It matches the Rfam family "Bacterial small subunit ribosomal RNA", at positions 28 to 507 of the family's 1533-position model. The record is from RNAcentral.